This 468-nucleotide ribosomal RNA is filed under the name uncultured bacterium. RNAcentral's name for it is "partial 16S ribosomal RNA". It matches the Rfam family "Bacterial small subunit ribosomal RNA", at positions 28 to 507 of the family's 1533-position model. The record is from RNAcentral.
GACGAACGCUGGCGGCGUGCUUAACACAUGCAAGUCGAACGGAAAGGCCCUGCUUUUGUGGGGUGCUCGAGUGGCGAACGGGUGAGUAACACGUGAGUAACCUGCCCUUGACUUUGGGAUAACUUCAGGAAACUGGGGCUAAUACCGGAUAGGAGCUCAUGCUGCAUGGUGGGGGUUGGAAAGUUUCGGCGGUUGGGGAUGGACUCGCGGCUUAUCAGCCUGUUGGUGGGGUAGUGGCUUACCAAGGCUUUGACGGGUAGCCGGCCUGAGAGGGUGACCGGCCACAUUGGGACUGAGAUACGGCCCAGACUCCUACGGGAGGCAGCAGUGGGGAAUAUUGCACAAUGGGCGGAAGCCUGAUGCAGCAACGCCGCGUGCGGGAUGACGGCCUUCGGGUUGUAAACCGCUUUCGCCUGUGACGAAGCGUGAGUGACGGUAAUGGGUAAAGAAGCACCGGCUAACUACGUG